AUUGAACGCUGGCGGCAUGCUUUACACAUGCAAGUCGAACGGUAACAGCACUUCGGUGGCUGACGAGUGGCGAACGGGUGAGUAAUACAUCGGUACGUGCCUAGUAGUGGGGGAUAACUACUCGAAAGAGUAGCUAAUACCGCAUGAGAUCUAAGGAUGAAAGCAGGGGACCUUCGGGCCUUGCGCUACUAGAGCGGCUGAUGGCAGAUUAGGUAGUUGGUGGGAUAAAAGCUUACCAAGCCGACGAUCUGUAGCUGGUCUGAGAGGACGACCAGCCACACUGGGACUGAGACACGGCCCAGACUCCUACGGGAGGCAGCAGUGGGGAAUUUUGGACAAUGGGCGCAAGCCUGAUCCAGCAAUGCCGCGUGCAGGAUGAAGGCCUUCGGGUUGUAAACUGCUUUUGUACGGAACGAAAAGCCCUCUUCUAAUACAGGAGGGUCAUGACGGUACCGUAAGAAUAAGCACCGGCUAACUACGUG
RNAcentral lists this ribosomal RNA (482 nucleotides) under uncultured bacterium. RNAcentral describes it as "partial 16S ribosomal RNA". It matches the Rfam family "Bacterial small subunit ribosomal RNA", at positions 30 to 507 of the family's 1533-position model. The record is from RNAcentral.